AUUGAACGCUGGCGGAAUGCUUUACACAUGCAAGUCGAGCGGCAGCGCGGCCUUCGGGCUGGCUUCGAGCGGCGAACGGGUGAGUAAUUCAUCGGAACAUGCCCAGUCGUUUUUGAUAACACUUCGAAAUAAGUGCUAAUACCGCAUACGUCCUGAGGGUGAAAGCGGGGGAUCGCAAGACCUCGCGCGAUUGGAGUGGCCGAUGUCGGAUUAGCUAGUUGGUUGGGUAAAGGCCUACCAAGGCGACGAUCUGUAGCUGGUCUGAGAGGAUGAUCAGCCACACUGGAAGUGAGACACGGGCAAGACUCCUACGGGAGGAAGCAGUGGGGAAUAUUGGACAAUGGGGGAAAGCAUGAUCCAGCAAUACCGAGUGAGUGAAGAAGGACUUAGGGUUGUAAAGCUCUUUGGGGAGGAAAGAAAAGGAGGGGUAUAAGAUAGUGCGAUAAUGACGGUACCUGAAGAAGAAGCACCGGCUAACUACGUG
RNAcentral lists this ribosomal RNA (484 nucleotides) under uncultured bacterium. RNAcentral's name for it is "partial 16S ribosomal RNA". It matches the Rfam family "Bacterial small subunit ribosomal RNA", at positions 30 to 507 of the family's 1533-position model. The record is from RNAcentral.